RNAcentral lists this transfer RNA (88 nucleotides) under Desulfurococcales archaeon ex4484_217_2. RNAcentral's name for it is "tRNA-Leu". It matches the Rfam family "tRNA". Rfam says of the family: Transfer RNA (tRNA) molecules are approximately 80 nucleotides in length. The record is from RNAcentral. Lineage: Archaea; Thermoproteati; Thermoproteota; Thermoprotei; Desulfurococcales.
GCGGGGGUGCCCGAGCUGGGACAAAGGGGGCGGACUUAAGAUCCGCUGGCGUAGGCCUGCGUGGGUUCAAAUCCCACCCCCCGCACCA